UAAUAAGUGUUUUAUGGCACUUUUUAAAUCCCAUAUCCACCUUGUGUGCAAUGUCAGUCGGUUUUCUUUUUCGUCAAGAAAAAAAGGAUCGACCAAACAUCAACUUAUUCUAAUUGAACUUUUGUCUGAAAACUAUUAUGAAUAAACUAAUUCAAAAUA
This 159-nucleotide unclassified non-coding RNA is filed under the name soil metagenome. Its description in RNAcentral is "partial internal transcribed spacer 1". The record is from RNAcentral.